GAGUAAAUGCGUAUAAAUUAUAAAAUGAAUAUCUUUAUUACAACUGAAUCAAGGAUCAGUUCAAGGAAUGCGGAAGCGUAAAAUAAAUACAUGAAGAGUGGGGCGCCACAGGGACGUCGACUGGGAGACAAACGCCUAGAAGUCAUCGAAACCGCUGACGUAGUCCUCCACGUUGCCGAGCACUGAGCGGCAGUCGAAGAGGUCCCAUAGAGAACAGAAGAGAUGGAGAGGCAAGUGUGAGUACAAACUAGUACUCAACAAGUAUAACACAAACUAUGAGGCUCUAGGCUAGCUGACUCAACUGCAGUAGCUUUUAAUCUUGGCAAAUUUUAUUAAAACUAUUUACUAUAAGUGGAUGAAUUACCAUAAACCCAUAUUGCAUAAGAAAUUAAUCAAUAUUAAUUAAGAACUACUGAGAACUAUCCAAACCAAAACCACCCGGGGAAUCUCCGUAAUCAAAGGUUGAUAACCCCACUAAUCAAAAGGAGGAUCUGGGCCGCUCAUGACUGUGAGCACAGCUAAUAUAUCAGUUUUACACUCUCGAGAGGUUGCACAACUUUACCCACAAGUCGUGAGCUAUGCUAGUUGUUCAUCACACUUCCUUAGGUGAGAUGGCUAGCAAGCGCACUACGAGACCGUUACAAAGGAUCACGUUGGUAAGGUGUAACCGCUAAGGAUUCUGGAUCAGCAACGAUGGGGCCCACCUCCGGGGGUACAAGACACACAGCACAGACCAAGCCGGAGGAGUAGGGACCAUUGAAGCUUACCACCCCUCUUGCCCACGCAGGUAAGUUACUCCCGAACCAAACUGACCUAAUUAAUAAGUCAAGACCAUCCCAUUCCAGUCUUGUGGUUGCGCGGUUGUCCCAGGUUGUCGCUCUAUGAACCGGCCCUUAUGGAGAGUGGCCAACCAAGCACUAAGCACCGUGCUGGCCCCCUAAACCAAGUUUCUAACAAAACAUCUUUUACAGAGACGUGAGCCACUCAAGCACACAGCACAGAGGGCCACUCUCGGGAUUAAGUUGCAUAAGACCAUUAAUCAAAUUUAAUUAAAAAGGACCAAGUUUGUUAUAGCGCAGCAACCUAGCACAACUAACCACAAUGCAACCCAAAGGAUAUAUAUGUAGGAUAUAAAGUGGCUAGGAAAGUCCUUAUAGGCAUACAGGAUUAAAAUGCAGUAUGAAAUCUGUAUUUAAAAGUGAUAGGAUGUUCAUAUUAUACUUGCCUUCCUCAAAGUUCUGCUGCUACUGCUCAAAAGCUUCAGAAGAUGGCGGCUCCUGGUACUGGUCCAAACGCUCCGCGUCUACUCACGAUCAUCAAGCAUAGUCCACACAUACACACAUGCACAAAUAAUAGCAAACUAUAAGAAAACAGUACACCAAUACAAUAGAAUAGCAUACAAAACUGGCCUAGAACUAUUCUACGUGUUACAACGAUCGCGUGGAUAUAAAGAACACCGAAAACGGAGCUAAGACGCGAAAUCUACGCUUGAAACAAGAUCCAGGGACCUAUUUGUAAGAGAACUGGAGGUUCUAAGGGGUUCUGCACAAAAAUCGAGGGCUUAAACGUAAAUAAAGGGUAGACACAGGGGCUAGCAUGUGAAAACACGAGGCACGAACUGCGGGCACUAAAUCCAGGAAGCUCAGGGGGGUCCGUGCAAGAUUUUGGGUCAUCCUGGGAUUAUUUCUCAACUAACUAGGACUGCGGGCUGAUUUCUCCAAAAGGCAGGGGCUCUUUAGCAAAACUAGCGGGCUGAAACGGUAUCUUCCGUUCUGGGCACUCGCUGGAUCGGGCGGCUGAGAUUAGACUUACUAAACGAAGGGGUACGCUUGAUUCUCAUCCAUCCGAUCGGGAUCUAACGCGCCAGAGCCUAACAUAAAGGGAAUUCAAUCCCGCGCGCCGGAUCAAGGAUGGACGGCCGGGAUUUAAGACAAGGGCGAACCGGUACGAGGGAAACACAUCCGCUGGAUCACGAUCGGACGGUCGGGAUCAAUGGGCUAAGGAUCUAAUCUUACCCACUGGCCGCAGAUCGAACGGCUCAGAAGAAAGAGGGGGUCCGGGCGGCGGUGAAGGUCACCGGAGCUCCUUCCCGCGGCGGCGCUUCGCCGGAGCUGGCCUAACUUGGUGCUCCGGGCUCGGUUUUGGACACGAUCUGGUCCGGGAGCGGGAGCAGGACAUGGCGAACACGUCCACGUACUCGAGGUGGUGGAUUAGGGUUCGGGUCAUGGCUCCCCACGGCGGGGGCGGCACGGGGUCGCCGGUGUGCCGGGGUUGGGCUGCUGCGAGGGUUUACAGACUACCACACCUAGCGCAAACGGUUACGGGGGAGGAGGUGCUGCUCACCGAGGUGGAGAUUGGCCGGAGGCGGCGUGCAGAGGCGUUGCCGGUGACGUCCGGCGGCGGAAGCCGGUACUGCACACGCGAACGGUCGUUUCAGGGGUGCCCCGGGCGUGCUGAUCCGUUGAGGGAGUCCGUGCGGAACCUGUGGAGGUGUAGAGGGGGUGAGGAGGGUCCUGGAAUCGCCGGCAUCCAGGAAUCGCACGACGGACAGAGGCUCACCGGAGUUGUUCACGCGCAGUUCAAGCGGCCACAGGGGAUGGGGCUGGAAUUGAAGCUUCAGAGAGGUCCCUGGGCACGUGUCGAAGCUGCGUCGUGGCUCGAGCAAGUCUGUGGUGCGGUGGAGGGGCGAGUCCACGGUGGAGCAGGGGCGCCGAGCGGCGGAGCAAGGCAGAGGGAACUCUAGGGUUUGGAAGCGCCGCCAAGAAUGGGAAUAAGACGCAGGAGGGGUCGGGAUCGCUAGAUAAGGCCCGGCCGGGAGUCUCGUCGUGCGGGCCCAGGGGAGAGCAGCUCGCCGGAGAUCUCGGGAGGGCGUUGCGCCGGAGAAGAAAGAGGAAGGGGAGAGAUAGCGCUGGCAAGUGGGGUCGGUCUGGCAGAGGAAGGGCGCUCGGCGGGGAGCAGAGGGGAACGGGCUGGGCGGCCAUGCGCAGCCCACGCGCGGAGGGGAAAAAAAGAAAGGAGGGGUGCUGGGCCUCGGUGGCCCAUGCGGGAGAGAGGGGGGAAAAGGGCCCGAGGGGGAAAAGGAAGGGAGGAGAGAGGAAGUGGGCCGGGCUGAGAGAGGGUUGGGCUCCCUUCUUUUAUUCCUUCUCCUUUUUCUUUUUCUAUACUCUAACCAUUCAAACCAUUCCAUUUGAAUUCAAAUAAAUUUGAAUUCAAACCCAACACAAAUAAAACAAUGCACCAGCAUGAAUGCACAAGCAAGUUGACCUUACAAUUAAUUUUACUUUCUUGUGUUAUAAAUUGCUUUAAAUGCCACAAAAAUUAAAGAAGACCUGGUAAUUUCAUUUGAACCAAAAUAAAUUCUUUAAAAUUUAAGGAGAUUACCUUAGGGUGUUACAGUAGUGGCUCCAUGUAAUGGUUCUUUUGAUGACGCAAGCAGACCAAAAUAUUCCGGUACCUCAGUAGCAUUCUCAACCUGUUGGACAAAAUCAUCCAUCAUUGCAUCCAUCCUAUCUCCAUUUUUCUCAAAGCUAUCAACUAGGCUGUAUAGCUCCUGCUCC
RNAcentral lists this long non-coding RNA (3557 nucleotides) under Panicum hallii. Its description in RNAcentral is "long non-coding RNA (PHAL_LNC000808)". Lineage: Eukaryota; Viridiplantae; Streptophyta; Magnoliopsida; Poales; Poaceae. The record is from RNAcentral.